UGGGGAAUUUUGGACAAUGGGCGAAAGCCUGAUCCAGCAAUGCCGCGUGUGUGAAGAAGGCCUUCGGGUUGUAAAGCACUUUUGUCCGGAAAGAAAUCCUUGGCUCUAAUACAGUCGGGGGAUGACGGUACCGGAAGAAUAAGCACCGGCUAACUACGUGCCAGCAGCCGCGGUAAUACGUAGGGUGCAAGCGUUAAUCGGAAUUACUGGGCGUAAAGCGUGCGCAGGCGGUUUGCUAAGACCGAUGUGAAAUCCCCGGGCUCAACCUGGGAACUGCAUUGGUGACUGGCAGGCUAGAGUAUGGCAGAGGGGGGUAGAAUUCCACGUGUAGCAGUGAAAUGCGUAGAGAUGUGGAGGAAUACCGAUGGCGAAGGCAGCCCCCUGGGCCAAUACCGACGCUCAUGCACGAAAGCGUGGGGAGCAAACAGGAUUAGAUACCCUGGUAGUCCACGCCCUAAACGAUGUCAACUAGUUGUUGGGGAUUCAUUUCCUUAGUAACGUAGCUAACGCGUGAAGUUGACCGCCUGGGGAGUACGGUCGCAAGAUUAAAACUCAAAUGAAUUGACGGGGUCAUAGCUGUUUCCU
Molecule: ribosomal RNA, 585 nt
Filed under: uncultured bacterium
Lineage: Bacteria
Description: partial 16S ribosomal RNA
Rfam family: Bacterial small subunit ribosomal RNA
Source: RNAcentral